RNAcentral lists this microRNA precursor (61 nucleotides) under Pelobates cultripes (western spadefoot toad). Lineage: Eukaryota; Metazoa; Chordata; Amphibia; Anura; Pelobatidae. The record is from RNAcentral.
UAGUGCUGCAGUGUAAACAUUGCAGUUUCUCUGAACUGCAAUGUUUUACAUUGCAGUCCUA